GGUUAAGCGACUAAGCGUACACGGUGGAUGCCCUGGCAGUCAGAGGCGAUGAAGGACGUGCUAAUCUGCGAUAAGCGUCGGUAAGGUGAUAUGAACCGUUAUAACCGGCGAUUUCCGAAUGGGGAAACCCAGUGUGUUUCGACACACUAUCAUUAACUGAAUCCAUAGGUUAAUGAGGCGAA
This 182-nucleotide ribosomal RNA is filed under the name Escherichia coli. Its description in RNAcentral is "partial 23S ribosomal RNA". It matches the Rfam family "Bacterial large subunit ribosomal RNA", at positions 1 to 183 of the family's 2925-position model. RNAcentral also lists the same sequence under 1 other name. The record is from RNAcentral. Lineage: Bacteria; Pseudomonadati; Pseudomonadota; Gammaproteobacteria; Enterobacterales; Enterobacteriaceae.